RNAcentral lists this ribosomal RNA (253 nucleotides) under uncultured bacterium. Its description in RNAcentral is "partial 16S ribosomal RNA". It matches the Rfam family "Bacterial small subunit ribosomal RNA", at positions 524 to 776 of the family's 1533-position model. The record is from RNAcentral.
UACGUAGGGGGCGAGCGUUAUCCGGAAUUACUGGGCGUAAAGCGCACGCAGGCGGUUCGCCAAGUUUGGAGUGACAGUUGUCGGCUCAACCGACAAAGGACUUCAAAAACUGGCGAACUUGAGGACGAGAGAGGAACAUGGAACUCCAGGUGUAGUAGUGAAAUGCGUAGAUAUCUGGAAGAACACCAAUGGCGAAGGCAAUGUUCUGGCUCGUUUCUGACGCUCAGGUGCGAAAGCCAGGGGGGCGAACGGG